This is a small nucleolar RNA of Ursus americanus (American black bear), 129 nucleotides long. NCBI's taxonomy places the organism in Eukaryota, Metazoa, Chordata, Mammalia, Carnivora, Ursidae. The record is from Ensembl.
AGCCCCUGGUGCUUACCACUGGCUGUGUUCUUAUACCGACCGCACCGAAAGAGGAGGCAGAGUAAACCUACCCAUAUAGACCCCAGCCCAGGCCCUUUGCCUGGUCUGUGUUGUGAAUGGGGGCAAUGG